UUACAAACUGGACCAAUUUCAACAGAAGUGAACUGGUCCAGAGAGAUUCUAGUGGUUAAAAAACUAUCCUGACAAACAGAACUGAGUCCCUAUUCUGAGCUGGGUAAAUAGAAGUAACUUUUCAUCAAACAUGUGGAGCUGCAUGUCUUUAUGCUUCAAAUAGUUCUAUCCUUAGGCAAUGAGCAUGACAUAAGGCAUAAUUCAGUAAUCCAUUCUCCUCAGUUGCCCUAUCUGUGAGAUUCUUGAGACACAAAGGACUGUGGCU
This is a long non-coding RNA of Rhea pennata, 265 nucleotides long. RefSeq lists it as uncharacterized. The transcript is spliced from 3 exons. The record is from RefSeq and is a predicted model, not a curated record. Lineage: Eukaryota; Metazoa; Chordata; Aves; Rheiformes; Rheidae.